RNAcentral lists this transfer RNA (75 nucleotides) under Clostridiales bacterium. Its description in RNAcentral is "tRNA-Arg". It matches the Rfam family "tRNA". From Rfam's summary of the family: Transfer RNA (tRNA) molecules are approximately 80 nucleotides in length. Their secondary structure includes four short double-helical elements and three loops (D, anti-codon, and T loops). The record is from RNAcentral. Lineage: Bacteria; Bacillati; Bacillota; Clostridia; Eubacteriales. RNAcentral also lists the same sequence under 1 other name.
GCCUCCAUAGUUUAAUGGAUAGAACAGCAGUUUCCGGUACUGCUGGUACGGGUUCGAUUCCUGUUGGGGGUGCCA